AUCGAUUUUAUCUUUAUCACUGAUAUUUCAUUAUCCUUCAUUGAGCUCUAAGUGCGUGACAAGAAAUGCCUACGGCUUGCAUGAGGUGUCUGCAUGUAGAUGGAAGGUUCAGCGCUUCAGCGAGCUGUCUGAAAUGGUGCCGAAAACAACACAGAUGUUAGAGAUGCGUAGUGGUAAAGUCUAUGAAGGAUACGGCAGUGGUGGACUGACGCAUCGUAAACAAGUCGGGUCGCAGUUGAUAAUAUCGCAUUACUAAAUAUAGUUCUUUUUGUCAAAUUACGCGUCUGUUUUAAAGUCAUUUGUGUUGGUUUACCGCGGGAUUACGUCAUAUAGGUUGACGAUCGAGAAGGAAGAUUAGAUGAACAGUACGUGUGGUGGAUACAAACGUAUGUUUAUGUUAUGAUAAACCUGAAAAUUGAUUUCAGUUUCUUGUGACACCGUUGUAAAGGGUGUUUUGUUUGUGACUGUGUAACAACAACGUUUGCAACUGUCAUUUUCGAGAAAAGCCGGGAUGUGUAGGUGAUACAAAAAUGCAGUGUGCAUUGAUAUGGCCAGUAAGUCAUUAUGGACUACUCUUGGAGGAUGGAUGUGCUGCGAUCAUGGAGGAAGAGUUAUAAUGAACUGCAUCAUUUUCAAAGUGUUUUUCAAGUCACUGCAAACUUGAGUCAAAUUUGGGCACUUGAAGGGAUUGCACAAUAUUUCUACAUGUUGUAGAUUGCUUAGUAUUGGAAAGAUAUGAAAUAAUUGUCAUAGGCACAGAACAGCAAUGGAUCCAUUGGGGCCGUGGGCAACAUAUAAUCCUUCAUACACUAGGCUAACGGGUACAGCAGGCAGUUAUCAGGGGACUGCUCCUAGUGGACGUGGCAAUUUUGGAUCCCCCCAUCAUGCUUCACCAACAGGGAACAACAGUUUGGAAAAUACAGCAGUAACAGGGUUGCAAUCAGCAAAUUCCCAGCUUCUUUUGCAAACUGCUCAUAGUUCUACUAGCAUGCCUAACAGAGAACUCAUGGGCCACACUUCCAUGACAGCAGCAUUUGGCUCAGGGAGCUUUCUUACACAAACGUCUGGAUCGUAUGAUCCAGUUUUCUCAACUUUAUUUCACCAUCCUGAACAAAAACUGGCUAAUUAUGGCCCCUGUGCCACAAGUAACCCUUCAAAGCAUUCUUUACAACAUACUUCAGCGACCAAGCAAAAUGCACUUGAAUCAGAAAUAACAAGAGUCAGAGAAAAACAACAGAGUAGCACAUAUUUUGAACAGCAGGCAGCAGGAUCACCAUCAUCACUAUCAUCAACCCCGUCUUGGUCACAUCAGACAAAUGUCCAAAUACCAAGUCCAUUUGGUAUAUUACCACAUGAAACUGUUGGAAAUGGGGUGGAGAAGGGCAGUUCCAUUUGUGAAGGAGACUUCAAUGUACAAUUUACCCCAAAUCAGAAUUUAAAUAAUAUGAACUCUCAGCUCUCACCAGCUUUGGAAUACAGUAAAUCUUCAAGUGAUUACAAUAAAAUACAGAUCAGGAAACCGGACACAUUACUGUCCCCUGGUAGAACAGCUUUUACACCUGCCUCCAGUGCAGCAACUAGUGCCACAUUUUAUCAGCAUUCUCCAGCAACAUUCAGUAAUGUAGGGGCUGUCUCAUCUCGGGACAGUACUUCAGUUGUUUGUGCAACAACUUAUCGAAAUGACAACAAUAAAUGCCAGCAGCAACUACCAGGGGUCUCUGAUUUUGUUAGCAGUGGAAAAGGAUUUGUUUCUCCUGCACAGCUACCCACACCGUACCAUCAAGCUUCACUUGAUACGAAAUUGUAUUCAGAAUUUAAUUCUUCUGAGCACAUGACACAAGCACCUUUACCAGAAGAACACAGUCAAUCUCCGCCUGUUAAUUUCUCUCCAUUGAAUAAUGGAAGACAAACAGUUACCUUUACACGCAAUGAAAAUGGUGGAUCAUGUUCAACUAGUAUUAGUUCUGGGUCAGUUCCAACAAGUCUUGGUGUAGAAGAGCAGCAUGGCAAACGUGCCCUUGGUGUAUUACAGCAAACAGUUCAUAAGCGUCAGCCUAACAGUGAUGCAUCAUUUCAUAUGCAGCAAUACAGCAGCUCCCUUGUUGAUAGUGCCAAUUAUGGUAGUUCACCAUCUUUUUCAACAACAGAAACAAAAUCUUAUUCUGAGCCAUUGCUCUGUAUUGCAAAUGAUUCAUUGAAACACGGUCAGUCUGAUUGUGGAAAUCUUACACAAACACAAAGCCCAGCUAGUACGCAGUCGCAUCCGAGCCCUCUUGGUCAUGUUCCGAGCCCUCUUGGUCAUGUUCCGAGCCCUCUUGGUCAUGUUCCGAGCCCUCUUGGUCAUGUUCCGAGCCCUCUUGGUCAUGUUCCGAGCCCCCUCAGCCACGUUCCAAGCCCUCUCUGUCACGUUCAGAGUCCUCGUGGUCAUGUUCCAAGUCCCCUUGGUCACAAUCCCAGUCCCCAUAGUCACAAUCCAAGCCCCCAUGCUCAUGCUUCGAGUCCUGCGUAUCCUGUUUACCACAGUCCAGUAGGUAUGGUGCCUUCUGCAUCUUAUGUCCAGCCAUUGUCUCCAGAGGUGUCUUUACGGCAAUGCCCUACUGUUGAUGAAAGGCCAAAAAUAGUAAGCCAUUCUGCAGACAGUGAGCCAUGCUCAACAAACUCAUUAAGAGUACUGCCUAAAUCACAAAUCCCUAGUCACCAUGUAAUAAAUCGUACAUCGGGCUCAACAGGUGUUGCACAGAGACAAAAAUUAGAUGAAUGUGACAUCAAAGAUGGUUAUAACGAAGACAGUGGUUUGCAUGGAAAAGGAAAUCGGCAAGAUAAUACCUGCCGAAAGCAAAACGUGACACUACAAAUGAAGGAACAAAGUGUUGAAGAUGAAUCCAGUCCAUAUUAUAAGGUAUGCAUCAAAGAGAGAGAUGGUGGAGAUAGUAGUACCGCUACCAUGUUAUCAGUAGUGCAAACACCCAAUUUGCCACAGACAUCAACACUUCUCCAACCUCAGGACAUUUUAGAGCCUUCAGUAUCUAUGGAGCAAGAAGGUUAUAUUGAAAGCAGUUCAUCCUGUAGUGAGCAGGCGAGUAAUGAUAUUGACAAGCAUGCUGCCACAGGUUACAGUGCAGCACUACAGCAAGAAGGUGAACCUCUGUGUACAGGAUUACUAUCUACUGGUGAACUCACAGAGGCUCAGACAAAAGAGCAUUCUUCUCACCUUAUUAGGGCCACCUCUGAAGGACAGCAACUAGUGUCCGCUGAAGAGGCAGUGACUCAAAACAGUGCCAGCUCCUAUGUCACACACAUUGACAGAAAUAGAGAGCAACAAGAUACUGAUUCAAGGAACAAUUCUUUGAAUGAAAAGUUGGUUUCACCAAAAGCAAGUGUAGUGUGUGAAAAUGUACUCAAAGAAAGAUCAGAUACAUUUCAGGAUUCCAUUGAUAAGUCUGAUAAUGAAUGUCAGUCUGCAACAGCUUCUGUGACACAGCCAGUUGUUACAGAUCUUCCUAGUGUUCAACAAUCUUCUGACAGCAUUCGACAGAUUUCAGAGGUUGUCAACAUGUCAUCAGAAAUGAAGUCUGCAUCUCAACAACCAUCAGAUUUUGCAGAAUCCUUUAAUGAAAUAAAUCGAAAAGUCACCUUAAUUAACAUAGAGGAUGAUUUAGAAUGUCUAUUGGAAGAUAGUUCUGUUUACAGUCCAAUGACUCUUGAACAAGAUGUUAAGAUGUCAAAACAAAAGUAUUUUUUACAAAAUCGUAGUGGAUUUUUGGAUGGGUACAUGAAAUUCCUUAAUGAAGAGAGACGAAUAUCUGUUACAAAAAGCAAAAGCACUGAAAAAUCCGCAGAUACAGAUGCACAGAAGAAAGUGCGCAGGAAGCGAAUUGCUAAAAAUGCAGAUAUAUCUGGUACCAGUACUAAAGUUUUGAAACAAAGUCAGCAGGAUGAAGACUGGGAAGAAAGCAGUUAUACAUCCGAUGUGACUUCUGACACAUCUGACACUGAAAACAUGAGAAGCAAAGGAAAAAGAACUGAAUGGAUGUCCAGGGACAGCAGUCAUCAGGAAGAUGAAGGAAGUGAGAGGAAAAGACAAAAAUUGGAUAAGGAAGACGAACCAGAGAAGCAGAAGAAAAAUGCAAAAGACAGCCGAGGGAAAAGUCUUCAGCGAUCAACAAUUCAGUUGAGGCGAAAUUCUAGUUCUAAUCCAGAACUCUCAUCAAAGUGUAAUUCAUUUCAGUCAAGUUACUCUAAUGACCCACAGUCACUGGAUUCACAAAACAGUCAUGAAAAGGAGCAAAGGAAGAGGAGUAGAAAUGUUAAAGACCAAAUGAUCGCAAAGAGAAAAAUGAGUGAACAUAAAGAAGACCAAACUGUUUAUUUGCCCAGGAGGGAAAUGACACCCCGGAAGGCAAAAGAAAUAAGUAACACAAAGAAGUACAACCUCGAAGAAUUUGAAGAAGACUCUGACUCUGAGGAUAUGGACAGUGAUCCCGCAUGGACUCCAGCAGCUAAAGAACCAUCUGAUGAUGAUAAUGUUAAUAAGAGACGAUCCCGCCGUUCACGUUAUAUGUUAACAAAUUGCAAGAGAACCAGGCAUGCAUCACCUGAUGGCACUAGACCUGGAGGCACUGAAGAUGUAGAAGUGAGCAAGUUGCGUGGGAACCGAACCAGACAAAGUCGUACAAGAACACAUGCUGCUGCUAUCAGUCAAAAUUCACAGUCAUUGGCCAGACCUGACAUGCCCUCUGGUGCUUCAUAUUCUCCUGUCAGAGAAGUCAUAGCUGACACUAAUUUCAGAUCUGGUGACUUUGUUAUAAUGAAGAGUGAUACAGCAAUGGAGCAUCCACCACUAUGGAGAAUAGAUGGGAGAACUCUCCUUCAAAAAUAUGAAAGCUUUGAACAAAGUGGUAAAACUCUCUACAGGAAUAUUUCCACGAGAGGGUAGCAGGGAAUGGAGCGAUCUACCUGCACCUCACACAGUUACAUCCUUGGCAAGUGCAGAGUAAUCUCCAGCUAACUCUUUGUGCGUUGGCAUCAAGAGAAAAUGAGGCCUGUAUUUUGGGCAUCACACCAAGCAACUAUAUACAAGCUGGAGUCCACAAAACAGGCACAUCUACCAACAAGUUGCUGUGCGAUUUGUAGUGCAAAAUAAUUUUGAAACAGUUGUUGAGUUGCAGAAGAACAGCAUAUGUGAU
RNAcentral lists this unclassified non-coding RNA (5186 nucleotides) under Schistocerca americana (American grasshopper). RNAcentral's name for it is "uncharacterized LOC124605480, transcript variant X3". The record is from RNAcentral. Lineage: Eukaryota; Metazoa; Arthropoda; Insecta; Orthoptera; Acrididae.